GGGAUAACUGCCAGAGCAGAAGACAGUUGGCAGUUAUUUCGCAACCUUCAUCUGUUCCUGGAAGAUACCCGUAGCCUGCCUUCCUUCUUGACAGGCUGAUUUAGGGGUGCUCCCCAAGAAGAUCAGGACUGCUGAAAGAAUGAAGAAGAACUUACUUGGCCUAGGAUGUGGCUAGAGAACGGAGCGCACUUUCACUUACCUGGCAAGAAUUCCAUUCUCCCAUCCCAGGAAGGAGAGUGCCCUGCGUGCCACGAAAGAGCCCAGGACCCACAGGACAAAUACGUCACUGGCAGACCUGCCUUCGCCAGCGCCAGCCCAUCUCUGAAACCUCCAGCAUUUGUGCCCCGGUCCGGCCCCUCCCAGGCCUGACUCUUUCCGUGAACGGUCACUGCGCAGGAUCAAGCUACAAUGAAGAGGAGGGAGGCAGUCUGCGCGCACCGCCAUUUUCUAGGAACUGGGAAGCCCCCCCACCCCUUAGGAAGAUCCAUCCCUGUGGAACCUUGCCCAGGCUUACCAGCCUUUGCUGAGGUUGAUCUAUUGUCCCUCCUUGUCCCCAUCAAAAUAUCCAGCACUCCACCUUCAGGGAGUAGACUUGACCCUCAAAUAGCAAGUUCAGCCUUCCCAGGUCUAGGUUCCCUGGGAGGUCAAGAUUCGUCUGGUUCCUUAGUACAGAGGGCUAGCUGUGAGUUGGAAUCCCCCUAUGAGCUUUAGAAUCAGUCAAGAGGAAUUGGGCCCCUUCCCUUCAUCCCUCUUCUUUUCCCUUUUUGUCCCAGAGCUCAGCUCUGACUCAAAAGUUUUUCCAUUUACCAUCAACAUGGAAACUUGGCUCCUCACGUAGGUAUAUUAUCCCCCUUUUGUACAUGGUCUUGUUGAUCCAAACUCCCUUUCUGUGAAAGAGGCCUGUGGGGCUCAAGAAGCCUGGUCAGCCAGCCAGGCUAGUCCCACAUACCUCAGAACCAGUUUAAUAAAGGCUCUAUGUCAUUCUUUUUUGCUUGGG
This is a long non-coding RNA of Homo sapiens (human), 997 nucleotides long. Ensembl annotates it as testis development related 1. Its record names the gene TDRG1. NCBI's taxonomy places the organism in Eukaryota, Metazoa, Chordata, Mammalia, Primates, Hominidae. The record is from Ensembl.